GCCGGUUUGGCGGAGUAGCUUACGCGAAGGACUGCAGAUCCUUUCCACAGGGGUGCAAUUCCCCUAGCCGGCUCCA
Molecule: transfer RNA, 76 nt
Filed under: Candidatus Thorarchaeota archaeon
Lineage: Archaea; Promethearchaeati; Candidatus Thorarchaeota
Description: tRNA-Cys
Rfam family: tRNA
About the family: Transfer RNA (tRNA) molecules are approximately 80 nucleotides in length. Their secondary structure includes four short double-helical elements and three loops (D, anti-codon, and T loops).
Source: RNAcentral